AGUGUAGGCGGCUUACCAAGUCUGUUGUGAAAUCUCCCGGCUCAACUGGGAGGGUGCGGCGGAUACUGGUGGACUAGAGUGCGAGAGGGGAGAGUGGAAUUCCUGGUGUAGCGGUGAAAUGCGUAGAUAUCAGGAGGAACACCGGUGGUGAAGACGGCUCUCUGGAUCGUGACUGACGCUGAGACUCGAAAGCGUGGGGAGCAAACAGGAUUAGAUACCCUGGUAGUCCACGCCCUAAACGAUGCAUACUUGGUGUGGGCUCUUCAUUGAGUCCGUGCCGGAGCUAACGCGUUAAGUAUGCCGCCUGGGGAGUACGGUCGCAAGGCUGAA
This 330-nucleotide ribosomal RNA is filed under the name uncultured bacterium. Its description in RNAcentral is "bacterial SSU rRNA". It matches the Rfam family "Bacterial small subunit ribosomal RNA", at positions 568 to 898 of the family's 1533-position model. The record is from RNAcentral.